GGCACGUCCACAGUCCUCUUGACUGGAACAUAAAACCCCGGUCUUUUAGCGUGGGAUGUCAUUCAGCCCUAACCAGAAGCGAAGCACCGAUACGUGUCACAACUUGGAUGAGCUCGAAAGCAGGGGCCCCAUCGCGGCUGGCUAGGACCCGCCGGCUUCAGCCCCUUUAAGACGACUUUGGAGGACCCAGUUUCAAAGCCCGGGGCGACUCUCUGGCCCCCGCCUCUAUGGUGCGUCGUCACUUCCGGCCGGAAGUGCGUGUGCAGCGCGGCUUCGGCGCAGGGGGCGUGGAGUGAGUGGAGGCGCGCGCUUGCUCGUGGGGUUCGUCAGAAAACGAGAACUUCCAGCCCCCGGCGGUGAGACGCGGGCAGGCCGCGGGCGGGGCGAGCCCUCCGCGCUCGGUGCGGGAGUCUAGGUGAGUUCACGGGAAGAUCUGUGUGCGGGGUGAAUGCUUCCGUGUACCUGAAGUGUAAUUGUUGGGGGCUUGGAACUUUCCAGCUUCCUUGGGUUUCAUUUACUCGACCAUGUAGCUUCUGAAUGCCGACCUGCUGAAGACCCUGUUUUGUAUGGAUACAAAUAAAAGGGGUCCGUCCCCAAGGAGA
Lontra canadensis (Northern American river otter) is the source of this 602-nucleotide long non-coding RNA. RefSeq lists it as uncharacterized. The transcript is spliced from 3 exons. The record is from RefSeq and is a predicted model, not a curated record. Lineage: Eukaryota; Metazoa; Chordata; Mammalia; Carnivora; Mustelidae.